UGUAGCUCUCUCUCUCAAAAUAAACAAAUACAUAAACAAAUAUUUAAAAAAAACAAAACAAAUAAAACAAAACAGUGGCAUCCAAGUAAGGAAAAUGCCCUGGAAGUUAAGGAUAACUAUAGGACCAUAGUUGGUGAGGUUUCAUAGCUAAGGAUAAAAGGAAUAGUGGACUUGUGAUUAUUUUGUGAAUUCAAGUUAAAAAAAAAAAAGAAAGAAAAGAAAAAAGAAAAGAAAAGAAAAGAAAAGGAAAGAAAAGGUGAAUAUCUAGAUUCCCAAAGAAAGAAAGUAAUGGCAGAGAUUUACAUUCAUAGGAAAAAGGAGGAAGCAGUGAUGCAGGAUAUAAGGAACAACUGGAAAGUAUAAAUUAGAAGAAGCAGAAAAAUAAAGAGAGGGAGAAUGUGAUGUCAUUGAAUCCGGGGACAAACCAGGAGUAUAAAGGGACAAAUAAUGAGUUUUGUAUUUUUUUCAAAGAUCUCGAAAUGUCUGAGAGCAAAUACAGUCAAAGGGAUAUUAGAUAUUAGGUAUGUUAAGUAUAGGAACUUGAGUCACGGGGUGGUAGGGUGCAGAACUAGCUGUAAAGGAGAUGGUUUUAGACAAGAAUAAGGACACUUUUCCCCACAGACACCCGGAAAGAGAAGAUAAUUGUGAGAAAAGGAUAAGGAGAGUAAAAAAAAUGUAUAAAAAUUGAAGCAUCACAUUCUUUUUGAUAGAAUAGGUGGAGAUGAUAUGCCAAGGAAAGGAUACGACAGCUGGGACUGGGGGCAUGGUAAGAGAGAAAAGGUCUAAAAUAGCUCCCACAGGGAGAGAGCCUGGGAGUACAGAAAAGACAAUUAAAAAGACUGCCAAAUAGCAGCAGAGAGCAGAUUGAAGUUUGAAAGCAUCCAGUUCUAAUGAGCCAAAUCUGCAAUGCUGUUUGCCUCUAGCAGCGCUCUCUCUCCUGGGAAAAGCAGCAGAGGGAGCAAGAGGGAGAGGUAACACAGGUUUUAGGAAUUUGCUGGACUAGCAAAGAAGCAAAGGUUAUUAAUGAAGAGGCAAAUCUCAUGCUCCUCGUUGGGAGUGAAAAUCUAACUCAUUUGUAGCAAGGAUGGCAAAAAUGCCUGAGUCUUAUCACUGAGGGGCACUUCCAAGGAAGUGGGGAAAGUAAUUAUUGUGAGUUCUGAGCCAAAAGCUAAAACUUUCAAGGAAAUUAGAAAGAUUCUCAUUUCUCACCACCACCACCAUCACUCCUGCGGAGACUACAGGAAUGGGAAGAAGCAAAACCUAAACGAGACCAGAAGACUCUUAUCAGAGGACUGCUACAAAUAUUCCUGACUUAUCGUUACAUAUGCAAUCAUCAUAACAGUAAUCUUCACUUUCAAAGUGGUAUCAACUUAAUAUUACGAA
Leopardus geoffroyi (Geoffroy's cat) is the source of this 1383-nucleotide long non-coding RNA. RefSeq lists it as uncharacterized. The record is from RefSeq and is a predicted model, not a curated record. The transcript has 2 exons. Lineage: Eukaryota; Metazoa; Chordata; Mammalia; Carnivora; Felidae.